GACGAACGCUGGCGGCGUGCCUAAUACAUGCAAGUUGAGCGCUGAAGGUUGGUACUUGUACCGACUGGAUGAGCAGCGCACGGGUGAGUAACGCGUGGGGAAUCUGCCUUUGAGCGGGGGACAACAUUUGGAAACGAAUGCUAAUACCGCAUAAAAACUUUAAACACAAGUUUUAAGUUUGAAAGAUGCAAUUGCAUCACUCAAAGAUGAUCCCGCGUUGUAUUAGCUAGUUGGUGAGGUAAAGGCUCACCAAGGCGAUGAUACAUAGCCGACCUGGGAGGGUGGUCGGCCACAUUGGGACUGAGACACGGCCCAAACUCCUACGGGAGGCAGCAGUAGGGAAUCGUCGGCAAUGGACGAAAGUCUGACCGAGCAACGCCGCGUGAGGGAAGAAGGUUUUCGGAUCGUAAAACUCUGUUGGUAGAGAAGAACGUUGGUGAGAGUGGAAAGCUCAUCAAGUGACGGUAACUACCCAGAAAGGGACGGCUAACUACGUG
RNAcentral lists this ribosomal RNA (497 nucleotides) under uncultured bacterium. Its description in RNAcentral is "partial 16S ribosomal RNA". It matches the Rfam family "Bacterial small subunit ribosomal RNA", at positions 28 to 507 of the family's 1533-position model. The record is from RNAcentral.